AGAAAGCUAGUGGACGGGAGAAGGCAAUAAAACUUCAAGCACAAACCCUACCUGUUGACCCAAGAAAGGAUUUCCACCAGGUCCACCAAUGGCAACCUGACCAAUCUUUUUGCUGAACCCAAAUCUCUCAACCAUCUGCCUUGCCACACGUGAAACUUGCAUGAAAUCAUUGGAUGCUCCAGUAGUCACAUUUUCCUGACCAAAAAUCACUUCCUCGGCAACCCUACAGAAGUAAAAAUCGUAGGUUCGGUAAAACACAGGCAAUUCCCUUAUUUGCAUAAAAUUUCUUUAACUCAAAAAAUAAAGCUCGCAGUUCAACUAAGGUCCAAACUAAAGGGAAAUUUGAUGAUGCUUGCUCACUCUAGAAUAGCAACUUGAAGAGCAGGAAAGUACUCAUAUGCCUUGCUACAAUUUUUCCCCUGGAACUAGGCCAAUCAAUACGAGUAGAACUAACCUUCCACCAAGUGCAACAGCCAUUUGAUUCUCCAGGUAGCUUCUACUGUACAAUCCAGACUCGAGCCUUUCCUCACUUGGAGCAAAAAAUGUUAGACCACCAGCUUGGCCACGAGGAAUGAUGGAUAUCUUGGCUACUGGAUCAUAUUCAGGCAUAAGGGCACCAACCAAAGCAUGCCCAGCCUCUGCAAAUGGAGAGUAACACACAUAAUUAGCCUCACAAAAUUGAAUCCUGGGAUAUAACAAGAGACCAGAGGAAAGGCAAAAAGGUUAUCAUGCAUUUUACCGUGAUAGGCAACUAAUUUUUUCUUUUCAUCCGAGACAACAGCAUUUUUCUUUUCUGGUCCUGCAAUGAUCCUCUCCAGAGCAUCAGAAAUCUCAUCUUUGCUUAUUUCCUUAAGGUCACGCCGAGCUGCAAGAAUGGCUGCUUCAUUCAUCAGGUUCUGCAAAUCAGCUCCAGUAAAUCCUGGGGUCCUCCGUGCAAUCUUUUCAAAAUCCACAUCCUUUGCAAGUGCCUUCCCUCUAGAAUGCACCUAUAAUUCAUAAUAAAAGUAAAAUUGUUCACUAUUCUAAGGUCAAGCAAGAACAGAAUUUGUAGACAAUGGGACAGCCUUACAAAACAACCUGAUUCUAGGAUGCAUUAUCAGACAAAUCAAUCUAGUAUCCAUAAUCACACCAAUUCAGAACAGUCCAUUUUUCUCUAGAAACAAACAUAUCAUAUUAUAGAAAAUUUAUUUAGUAUGCAGUGUCGGACCAAUUAAUAACUAGACCAGAAAACCAUCAUUUUGCAGAGAAUUUAUCUUAUAACACCAAUAUUAACAUUCAGAGUUUAGCUGCCCUAAACUACUGCCUCUUAAUAGACACGACAGGACACACACACAUGCACGCAAACACAUUCUGCUUCAAUUGUUUGUUUCCUUUUCCUAAUCUAUGUCCUCAAUACAUCUUUACGAGGAAUAGAACAACUUGGUUGGCAUUGUUGAACUUACCUGAAGAAUCUUGACUCUACCAGCGACAUCAGGCCUAUCGACUGUAACCUGUCUAUCAAACCUUCCCGGUCGCAACAAAGCCGAAUCAAGGACAUCGGGUCUAUUUGUAGCAGCCAACACAAUAACACCUGAAUUACCCGAAAAUCCAUCCAUUUCAGUCAACAACUGAUUAAUGGUCUGCUCUCUCUCAUCAUUCCCCCCUCCAAGUCCAGCCCCUCUCUGCCUCCCAACCGCAUCAAUUUCAUCAAUAAAGACAAUGCAGGGCGCUUUUGACUUUGCUUUCUCAAACAAAUCUCUCACUCUCGACGCCCCCACUCCAACAAACAACUCAACAAACUCCGAGGCUGCGCACGAAAAGAACGGCACCCCCGCCUCUCCUGCCACAGCUCUGGCCAACAAUGUCUUCCCAGUCCCUGGCGGCCCAACUAAUAAACACCCUUUAGGAAUUUUAGCUCCUAAGGCUGUGUACUUAUCAGGAUUUUUCAAGAAAUCAACCACCUCUUGUAACUCCAAUUUAGCCUGAUCAGCUCCGGCCACAUCAGCAAACGUCACACCGGUUUCCGGCACUUCUUGAAACUUCGACUUCGACCGGCCAAAAUCCAUCGGUCCACCCAACCCACCGGGUCCACCUGGCCCACCUUGCGCCCGUCGAAACAAGAGAAACAAACCGGCAAAAGCAAGAAAAGGGAACAAAAGAUUUCCAAUAAAAUUAAAGAGCCCAUUACCAGAAUCCCCCUCGGCAACCGAAAUAUCAACGCCGUUCAUCGCUAAAAUGUCGAUCAGAUCAGGGUCAUUAGGGACAAUAACGGCGGCACGACGACCAUCUACGGCGGUGAGUUGUAGGGCAGAACCAUCUUUGCUGAAACGAACUCUUUCCACUUUCCCUUUCUUGACCGCAUUCAGAAACUCGCUGUACCGCCAUUGACUACCUUCAGGAAGGUCAGAGGUUGACUGAGACUGGGGUUUCGGAGCUGUUAAGAGAAGAUUUUGAGCGACAGUAGAGGAUGGUCUGGUGGGCUGGGCUUCAAUAACAGGUGGAGGAGUAGGUGGUGGUGUAGGGUUGUCAAUUGCUAGCGCCUGAGGGGUUAAAGAAGAGAAGAUUAAGGCAGUAGCUAUGGUUGCUUGUGACUGAAGGGAUUUUAAAGACUCAUAAUUCUUUUCAUUCACAAUUUUCUGAAAUUUUUUGGGCAGAAGGAAGGAUAAGGAGGGUCUGGUUGUUUUAGGACAAGGCAAGCUUCGGGAACCAAAGAAGUUUGAAGUGAGUAAAGGGUUUGUAGUUGAUGAUGCCAUGCUCU
RNAcentral lists this long non-coding RNA (2737 nucleotides) under Populus trichocarpa (black cottonwood). Its description in RNAcentral is "long non-coding RNA (PTRI_LNC000531)". Lineage: Eukaryota; Viridiplantae; Streptophyta; Magnoliopsida; Malpighiales; Salicaceae. The record is from RNAcentral.